Euleptes europaea (tarantolino) is the source of this 205-nucleotide small nucleolar RNA. RefSeq annotates it as small nucleolar RNA SNORA74. NCBI's taxonomy places the organism in Eukaryota, Metazoa, Chordata, Lepidosauria, Squamata, Sphaerodactylidae. The record is from RefSeq and is a predicted model, not a curated record. The transcript has a single exon.
GCCAGUGGUAGUCAGCUGUCUGUGUCAGUACCAUGUCUGUGACGGUGUUACACUACUGGGAGAUGAAAGUAUUGUCCGUUUCACCUGUCUGUCACUGUCUCUGUUCUGGAGGUAUCUGACACCAGUGUGGGGCAGUACUGUGCUUCUCAUGAGAGUGUGCUGAGCAGCUAACAUCCUGCUCAGCGCUAGUCUGGAAGCAUACACC